CGUCCUGAGUGCCAGUGUUCAGCCCCGGCUUGCUGGCCGGCAACCCUCGUAGCGCAGUGGGGUGCCCCGGGUGGUGACGGGGCCGCGGCGACCAGCCUGCGGCAAGUGCAGACC
RNAcentral lists this non-coding RNA (114 nucleotides) under Frankia canadensis. Its description in RNAcentral is "SAM (S-adenosyl methionine) riboswitch aptamer". It matches the Rfam family "SAM (S-adenosyl methionine) riboswitch aptamer". Rfam says of the family: SAM-IV is a mRNA element that regulates gene expression via direct sensing of S-adenosylmethionine (SAM or AdoMet). SAM-IV riboswitches share conserved nucleotide positions with the previously described SAM-I riboswitches sequence analysis and molecular recognition experiments suggest that SAM-I and SAM-IV riboswitches share similar ligand binding sites, but have different scaffolds. Lineage: Bacteria; Bacillati; Actinomycetota; Actinomycetes; Frankiales; Frankiaceae. The record is from Rfam by way of RNAcentral.